This 483-nucleotide ribosomal RNA is filed under the name uncultured bacterium. Its description in RNAcentral is "partial 16S ribosomal RNA". It matches the Rfam family "Bacterial small subunit ribosomal RNA", at positions 30 to 507 of the family's 1533-position model. The record is from RNAcentral.
AUUGAACGCUGGCGGCAGGCCUAACACAUGCAAGUCGAGCGGAUGAAGGGAGCUUGCUCCUGGAUUCAGCGGCGGACGGGUGAGUAAUGCCUAGGAAUCUGCCUGGUAGUGGGGGAUAACGUCCGGAAACGGGCGCUAAUACCGCAUACGUCCUGAGGGAGAAAGUGGGGGAUCUUCGGACCUCACGCUAUCAGAUGAGCCUAGGUCGGAUUAGCUGUUGGUGGGGUAAAGGCCUACCAAGGCGACGAUCCGUAACUGGUCUGAGAGGAUGAUCAGUCACACUGGAACUGAGACACGGUCCAGACUCCUACGGGAGGCAGCAGUGGGGAAUAUUGGACAAUGGGCGAAAGCCUGAUCCAGCCAUGCCGCGUGUGUGAAGAAGGUCUUCGGAUUGUAAAGCACUUUAAGAUGGGAGGAAGGGCAGUAAGUUAAUACCUUGCUGUUUUGACGUUACCAACAGAAUAAGCACCGGCUAACUUCGUG